UGCGUGGUUGGUNNNNNNNNNCCAGCGCCACCAUUCAAAUGCUGAGCUGAGGCGGCGUANGCCCCUUAUCGUCAGCAGCCAUCGCCUUCUCGGGCGAUGGUCCACAGAUCACACAAUGGUGACCCCUUUCGGGGCCAAUGAGAUAUGAUCGGCCGUUCCCUCCCUAGGGCGCGACGUGCGGAACCUGCGGAAGGAUCAUUAUCGAGAGACGGAGGUCUAACCGGCCCCACUCUUCACCCGUGCUUACCUUACCAUGUUGCUUUGGCGGGCCCUCGGGCUUUCCGACGCCUGGAGGGGCUUCCUCCGUGGCGAGCGCCCGUCAAAGGCCUUUAAACUCCGAUAUCCAAUUGUCCGAGCAACCUUUAAUAGUUAAAACUUUCAACAACGGAUCUCUUGGUUCUGGCAUCGAUGAAGAACGCAGCGAAAUGCGAUAAGUAAUGUGAAUUGCAGAAUUCAGUGAAUCAUCGAAUCUUUGAACGCACAUUGCGCCCUCUGGUAUUCCGGGGGGCAUGCCUGUUCGAGCGUCAUUAACACCCUCAAGCUUUGCUUGGUAUUGGGCCGCGUCCGAAUGUGGCACGCCCGAAAUGCAGUGGCGGUCCCGCGAGACUUCAAGCGUAGCAAGAUUUACAAUCCCGCUUCGAAUCCUCGCUGGCCCGACCAGACAAGCCGAAGUGUGACCCACUUCCACAAUCGACCUCGGAUCAGGUAGGGAUACCCGCUGAACUUAAGCAUAUCAAUAAGCGGAGGAAAAGAAACCAACAGGGAUUGCCUCAGUAACGGCGAGUGAAGCGGCAACAGCUCAAAUUUGAAAUCUGGCUCCUUCGGGGUCCGAGUUGUAAUUUGUAGAGGGUGUUUCGGGCGAGGCGCCGGCCUAAGUUCCUUGGAACAGGGCGUCAUAGAGGGUGAGAAUCCCGUAUGCGGCCGGCGACCGACCCCAUGUGAAACCCCUUCGACGAGUCGGGUUGUUUGGGAAUGCAGCUCUAAAUGGGUGGUAAAUUUCAUCUAAAGCUAAAUACCGGCCAGAGACCGAUAGCGCACAAGUAGAGUGAUCGAAAGAUGAAAAGCACUUUGGAAAGAGAGUUAAAAAGUACGUGAAAUUGUUGAAAGGGAAGCGCUUGCCACCAGACCUGUCCCCGGGUGAUCAGCCGCCGUUCUCGGUGGUGUACUCGCUCGGCGCAGGCCAGCAUCGAUUCGGGCGGUCGGAUAAAGGCCUUGGGAACGUGGCUCCCUUCGGGGAGUGUUAUAGCCCUUGGUGCAAUGCGGCCAGCCUGGAUCGAGGACCGCGCUUCGGCUAGGAUGCUGGCGUAAUGGUUGUAAGCGGCCCGUCUUGAAACACGGACCAAGGAGUCGAUCAUCUAUGCGAGUGUUUGGGUGUCAAACCCAUGCGCGGAAUGAAAGUGAACGGAGGUGAGAACUCUUUAGAGCGCAUCAUCGACCGAUCCAGAUGUCUUCGGAUGGAUU
Molecule: ribosomal RNA, 1461 nt
Filed under: Allocalicium adaequatum
Lineage: Eukaryota; Fungi; Ascomycota; Lecanoromycetes; Caliciales; Caliciaceae
Description: eukaryotic LSU rRNA
Rfam family: Eukaryotic large subunit ribosomal RNA (bases 692-1461)
Source: RNAcentral